Molecule: regulatory RNA element, 140 nt
Rfam family: Bamboo mosaic potexvirus (BaMV) cis-regulatory element
Source: Rfam
AACGUUGCAUGAUCGUAAAACAUGCCCGGCUUACCGUGAGCCGCCUUUGAAAGAAAGGUUUACACGGACUCUGUUGCGUUACGCACGUACCUAACCCGUGCCAGCAGAAUAAAGACCUUUUGGUUUCUACAGUUUUUUCC